CGGUAGACAUGGCACCGUUGGAAAAAAAGCCUCGUCAGGGCCCCUCUCCUUAUAGUAGAGAUGCUUCAAUGGGAACUUAUGGUACAAAUGCGCAAACACAACAAUCUAUGGUUACAAAGGUCACCCAAAACAUGCAGAUUCCUCUGUCCUAUGCUGAUGCUGUUAUCGGGACAUCUGGUUCAAAUAUUAGCUAUAUCCGUCGGGCCAGUGGUGCGUCUAUUGCAAUUCAAGAAACAAGGGAUGUUCCUGGUGAGAUGACCGUUGAGAUAACUGGAUCUGCAUCACAGGUGCAAACAGCUCAGCAAUUAAUUCAGAAUUCUGUUGCUGAUGCUGCCAGCUCAAUG
RNAcentral lists this unclassified non-coding RNA (344 nucleotides) under Hevea brasiliensis (rubber tree). The record is from RNAcentral. Lineage: Eukaryota; Viridiplantae; Streptophyta; Magnoliopsida; Malpighiales; Euphorbiaceae.